AUUGAACGCUGGCGGCAGGCUUAACACAUGCAAGUCGAGCGGGGGAAGGUAGCUUGCUACUGGACCUAGCGGCGGACGGGUGAGUAAUGCUUAGGAAUCUGCCUAUUAGUGGGGGACAACAUCUCGAAAGGGAUGCUAAUACCGCAUACGUCCUACGGGAGAAAGCAGGGGAUCUUCGGACCUUGCGCUAAUAGAUGAGCCUAAGUCGGAUUAGCUAGUUGGUGGGGUAAAGGCCUACCGAGGCGACGAUCUGUAGCGGGUCUGAGAGGAUGAACCGCCACACUGGGACUGAGACACGGCCCAGACUCCUACGGGAGGCAGCAGUGGGGAAUAUUGGACAAUGGGGGGAACCCUGAUCCAGCCAUGCCGCGUGUGUGAAGAAGGCCUUAUGGUUGUAAAGCACUUUAAGCGAGGAGGAGGCUACUUUAGUUAAUACCUAGAGAUAGUGGACGUUACUCGCAGAAUAAGCACCGGCUAACUCUGUGCCAGCCGCCGCCGUAA
RNAcentral lists this ribosomal RNA (501 nucleotides) under uncultured bacterium. Its description in RNAcentral is "partial 16S ribosomal RNA". It matches the Rfam family "Bacterial small subunit ribosomal RNA", at positions 30 to 523 of the family's 1533-position model. The record is from RNAcentral.